UACGGGGGGGGCAAGCGUUGUUCGGAAUUACUGGGCGUAAAGGGCUCGUAGGCGGCCAACUAAGUCCGACGUGAAAUCCCCAGGCUUAACCUGGGAACUGCGUCGGAUACUGGAUGGCUUGAAUUCGGGAGAGGGAUGCAGAAUUCCAGGUGUAGCGGUGAAAUGCGUAGAUAUCAGGAGGAACACCAAUGGCGAAGGCAGCUCGCUGGAACGGUACUGACGCUGAGGCGCGAAAGCGUGGGGAGCGAACAGG
RNAcentral lists this ribosomal RNA (253 nucleotides) under uncultured bacterium. Its description in RNAcentral is "partial 16S ribosomal RNA". It matches the Rfam family "Bacterial small subunit ribosomal RNA", at positions 524 to 776 of the family's 1533-position model. The record is from RNAcentral.